This 202-nucleotide unclassified non-coding RNA is filed under the name Glomeraceae sp. RNAcentral describes it as "partial contains 5.8S ribosomal RNA and internal transcribed spacer 2". The stretch from base 1 to 71 matches the Rfam family "5.8S ribosomal RNA", at positions 84 to 154 of the family's 154-position model. The record is from RNAcentral. Lineage: Eukaryota; Fungi; Glomeromycota; Glomeromycetes; Glomerales; Glomeraceae.
GUGAAUCAUCGAAUCUUUGAACGCAAAUUGCACUCCCUGGUAUUCCGGGGAGUAUGCCUGUUUGAGGGUCAGUUUAAACAAAAAUCGGUGUGGUUGCUGCCUUUUGUGGUGACGCAUCGGAUUUGGGUCGUCUUGCCUUCGGUUAAGAGACCUAAAAUUUUGCAUGAAUUUUUUUGAAUGUAUUUAAAUGAUCUCAUGUACG